AGAACUUAGCAGAGAUGCUUUGGUGCCUUCGGGAACUCUGAGACAGGUGCUGCAUGGCUGUCGUCAGCUCGUGUUGUGAAAUGUUGGGUUAAGUCCCGCAACGAGCGCAACCCUUAUCCUUUGUUGCCAGCGGUUAGGCCGGGAACUCAAAGGAGACUGCCAGUGAUAAACUGGAGGAAGGUGGGGAUGACAUCAAGUCAUCAUGGCCCUUACGAGUAGGGCUACACACGUGCUACAAUGGCGCAUACAAAGAGAAGCGACCUCGCGAGAGCAAGCGGACCUCAUAAAGUGCGUCGUAGUCCGGAUUGGAGUCUGCAACUCGACUCCAUGAAGUCGGAAUCGCUAGUAAUCGUGGAUCAGAAUGCCACGGUGAAUACGUUCCCGGGCCUUGUACACACCGCCCGUCACACCAUGGGAGUGGGUUGCAAAAGAAGUAGGUAGCUUAACCUUCGGGAGGGCGCUUACCACUUUGUGAUUCAUGACUGGGGUGAAGUCGUAACAAGGUAGGCGUAGUGCU
Molecule: ribosomal RNA, 517 nt
Filed under: uncultured bacterium
Lineage: Bacteria
Description: bacterial SSU rRNA
Rfam family: Bacterial small subunit ribosomal RNA
Source: RNAcentral